GACGAACGCUGGCGGCGUGCUUAACACAUGCAAGUCGAACGGAAAGGCCCUGCUUUUGUGGGGUGCUCGAGUGGCGAACGGGUGAGUAACACGUGAGUAACCUGCCCUUGACUUUGGGAUAACUUCAGGAAACUGGGGCUAAUACCGGAUAGGAGCUCCUGCUGCAUGGUGGGGGUUGGAAAGAUUCGGCGGUUGGGGAUGGACUGGCGGCUUAUCAGCUUGUUGGUGGGGUAGUGGCUUACCAAGGCUUUGACGGGUAGCCGGCCUGAGAGGGGGACCGGCCACAUUGCGACUGAGAUACGGCCCAGACUCCUACGGGAGGCAGCAGUGGGGAAUAUUGCACAAUGGGCGGAAGCCUGAUGCAGCAACGCCGCGUGCGGGAUGACGGCCUUCGGGUUGUAAACCGCUGUCGCCUGUGACGAAGCGUGAGUGACGGUAAUGGGUAAAGAAGCACCGGCUAACUACGUG
This 468-nucleotide ribosomal RNA is filed under the name uncultured bacterium. RNAcentral describes it as "partial 16S ribosomal RNA". It matches the Rfam family "Bacterial small subunit ribosomal RNA", at positions 28 to 507 of the family's 1533-position model. The record is from RNAcentral.